AAAAUCCAUUUAAUCCUUGAUAGACUUCUAGACACUUGAGUAACCUAUUUAUUCCCUCAGGUGGAGUGAAUGUCUAUAUUAUGCUGAACUUCCAGAACCAGCUAGAGAUACAAGCGACAGAGUCCUUCCUUCUGGUGAAGUGGACAGAUGAGCAGGCAGGCGACCUCUAUGGAGAGACAGACGCAGCUGAGAGAAUUCAGGCCCUUUUGUCUUAUUUUCCUACAUUGUCAAGGAUCCACAUUACAAGGUUGAAGAGAAGCGGUGAUGGCAGAAAAAUCCCUCAUCAAGCAUGUGCGUGUCUCAGCUUGGAGUUCAGAAGAGCAAAAAGCAGAAAUUUCCCCUGGCUGUGGGGCUGAAACAGGAAACCACCCAGAAACCCUCAGCAGAGGAGGCCGGGAGUCCCCAGUUCCCUGGGACGGAGUGGACAUUUCACAGGAAACACUUCUGGGUGCAGCCCGAGUCUGUUCCCAUCCCUCUGUGUUGGAAUAAAGGCUCCAUGAGCUCAUGCGUUGUCUGUUUCGCUGGUGAAUGAAUCACAAGCACCUGUGCCCGGCGCAGAUCUGGCCCCUGCAGAGUUCAGUUGAAUGAGUGAAUAAAUCCAGCUGCAGCCUUCUAGAGCUGAUGGGGGGCAGCCGGAUAGGGCGGCCCUGACUGCCUCUCUGCGUGGCAUUUGUGUCUCCAAAUCACCAUGGUGCCCUGCACUCUGGAUGACCUGUAAGACCCCCUCCUCCCCAGCCCCAAACUCCUGUGGAUACAGAAUUGCUUCAAGGCAGUGGGCAGGUAGAGUGCCCAUCACCUGGGUUGCUCUGGUGUGAAUGUCUCUGCCCUCUUCCAGGACGGCAAGGUGUUGUCGCAGAGAUCUGCAGGGUCCUAGCGGGCAUCUGAGCUGCCUGGAUUAGGGAUCCCUUUCCUCAGAGCAUGGUCCGAGCUGGAAGCAUGAGUCCCAGUUAGUAGAAGCAGAGGGCUGGGAGCAUCCGCACCAGAGCCUCCAUCCUGAGCUCACAGUGGGUGGAGAAAGUCGCCUCCUAACGGGGCCUCCCAUAGGCUGA
Molecule: long non-coding RNA, 1049 nt
Organism: Globicephala melas (long-finned pilot whale)
Lineage: Eukaryota; Metazoa; Chordata; Mammalia; Artiodactyla; Delphinidae
Source: RefSeq, a predicted model, not a curated record